RNAcentral lists this ribosomal RNA (428 nucleotides) under uncultured bacterium. Its description in RNAcentral is "bacterial SSU rRNA". It matches the Rfam family "Bacterial small subunit ribosomal RNA", at positions 356 to 775 of the family's 1533-position model. The record is from RNAcentral.
GGGGAAUAUUGCGCAAUGGGGGCAACCCUGACGCAGCGACGCCGUGUGAGGGAAGAAGGCUUUCGGGUUGUAAACCUCUGUCAGAAAGGAAGAACCUCCCAAGUCCGAAUAGGGCUUGGGACUGACGGUACUUUCAAAGGAAGCACCGGCUAACUCCGUGCCAGCAGCCGCGGUAAUACGGAGGGUGCAAGCGUUAAUCGGAAUCACUGGGCGUAAAGCGCGCGUAGGCCGCUUUGUAAGUCGGACGUGAAAGCCCUCGGCUCAACCGGGGAACUGCGUUCGAUACUGCGAGGCUUGAGUCCUGGAGAGGGUGGCGGAAUUCCGGGUGUAGGAGUGAAAUCCGUAGAUAUCCGGAGGAACACCGGUGGCGAAGGCGGCCACCUGGACAGGUACUGACGCUGAGGCGCGAAAGUGCGGGGAGCAAACAG